RNAcentral lists this ribosomal RNA (497 nucleotides) under uncultured bacterium. RNAcentral's name for it is "partial 16S ribosomal RNA". It matches the Rfam family "Bacterial small subunit ribosomal RNA", at positions 28 to 507 of the family's 1533-position model. The record is from RNAcentral.
GAUGAACGCUGGCGGCGUGCCUAAUACAUGCAAGUCGAGCGAACAGACGAGGAGCUUGCUCCUCUGACGUUAGCGGCGGACGGGUGAGUAACACGUGGAUAACCUACCUAUAAGACUGGGAUAACUUCGGGAAACCGGAGCUAAUACCGGAUAAUAUAUUGAACCGCAUGGUUCAAUAGUGAAAGACGGUUUUGCUGUCACUUAUAGAUGGAUCCGCGCCGCAUUAGCUAGUUGGUAAGGUAACGGCUUACCAAGGCAACGAUGCGUAGCCGACCUGAGAGGGGGACAGGCCCACCUGGACCUGAGACCGGGCCCAGCCCCCUCGGGGAGGAAGCGUAGGGAAACUUUCCGCAAUGGGAGAAGGUUUAACGGCGCAACCCCGGGGGAUGAAAGAAGGUUUUGGAACCGAAAACCUUUUUUAUUGGGAAAGAACAAAUGUGUAAUUAACUAUGCCCGCCUUGACGGUCCCUAAUCAAAAAGCCACGGCAAACUCCGUC